UACGUAGGGUGCAAGCGUUAAUCGGAAUUACUGGGCGUAAAGCGUGCGCAGGCGGUUUUUUAAGUCAGAUGUGAAAGCCCCGGGCUCAACCUGGGAACUGCGUUUGAAACUGGAAGACUAGAGUGUGGCAGAGGGGGGUGGAAUUCCGCGUGUAGCGGUGAAAUGCGUAGAGAUGCGGAGGAACACCGAUGGCGAAGGCAGCCCCCUGGGAUAACACUGACGCUGAGGCGCGAAAGCGUGGGGAGCAAACAGG
Molecule: ribosomal RNA, 253 nt
Filed under: uncultured bacterium
Lineage: Bacteria
Description: partial 16S ribosomal RNA
Rfam family: Bacterial small subunit ribosomal RNA
Source: RNAcentral